Molecule: long non-coding RNA, 289 nt
Filed under: Medicago truncatula (barrel medic)
Lineage: Eukaryota; Viridiplantae; Streptophyta; Magnoliopsida; Fabales; Fabaceae
Description: long non-coding RNA (MTRU_LNC004235)
Source: RNAcentral
UACGUGUCGGAUACGACUAACUUGUACUCCGACACAACUUACUUAUACUCUGACACCUAUCAAGUCUGGCAGCGCUAUCAAAAUCAUAUUGUCUCUUCUAACCUAAAAAAAUAGGGUUUCUCGUCACCACAUAGCAAUAGCUAUUCUCUCUUCUAACCAUUACCACUGAUUGAAUUCUACUCUGUUUCUCUUCUCUCUAAUGUUAUGUUUCUUCUGCUGUUUGUUUUUGAUAUAAAUUAGUGUUAACUGUUAAGUAGUCAACAUUAGACAAAGAUGUUUUUUUUUUUUU